CAGUUCAUAGGUCUUCAUACCUGCUGGACACCUGGUCUCCAUUCCUGAUUUCAAAGUUCCAAUCUGAUCCUGUUUCUGGACUCUUUCCUGUGCUGGUAUUACCCAGUUCUAGUGUAUGCCUCUCCCUUGAUCUUUGUUAACCUUGAGCUGCUGAGCCAGUAGAAGAGGUCAAACUUAGUUCUGUUGAUUUGAAUCAGGAUUUUGUAACUCGUAUGAUACCUAAACUGGAGUGGGAGGCACUUUUGGAAGCUGCAGAGAGUGUUGAGCUCAUUGAAGGCGCUUUGAAAUGUCCAGAAUCCGGCACAGAAUUUCCUAUCACCAGAGGAAUUCCCAAUAUGUAAAUUAAUGAAGAAGAGUCCUAACAAGCAUUCUGUUUCCACCAAUGUAAAUAUAUAAAUACAUAACCCAGCUGUUAUUUUUGUGUGCUUUCAAUAAAUGGUAUGUUUAA
Xenopus laevis (African clawed frog) is the source of this 448-nucleotide long non-coding RNA. RefSeq lists it as uncharacterized. The record is from RefSeq and is a predicted model, not a curated record. Lineage: Eukaryota; Metazoa; Chordata; Amphibia; Anura; Pipidae. The transcript has 3 exons.